AACCUCCGCAAUGUACGAAAGUGCGACGGGGGGAUCCCAAGUGUUAUGCUUUUUUGUAUAACUUUUCAUUAGUGUAAAAAGCUUUUAGAAUAAGAGCUGGGCAAGACCGGUGCCAGCCGCCGCGGUAACACCGGCAGCUCUAGUGGUAGCAAUUUUUAUUGGGCCUAAAGCGUCCGUAGCCGGUUUAAUAAGUCUCUGGUGAAAUCCUGCAGCUUAACUGUGGGAAUUGCUGGAGAUACUAUUAGACUUGAGAUCGGGAGAGGUUAGAGGUACUCCCAGGGUAGAGGUGAAAUUCUGUAAUCCUGGGAGGACCGCCUGUUGCGAAGGCGUCUAACUGGAACGAUUCUGACGGUGAGGGACGAAAGUUAGGGGCGCGAACCGGAUUAGAUACCCGGGUAGUCCUAACUGUAAACGAUGCGGACUUGGUGUUGGGUGGCUUUGAGCUGCUCCAGUGCCGAAGGGAAGCUGUUAAGUCCGCCGCCUGGGAAGUACGGUCGCAAGACUGAAACUUAAAGGAAGU
Molecule: ribosomal RNA, 520 nt
Filed under: uncultured bacterium
Lineage: Bacteria
Description: bacterial SSU rRNA
Rfam family: Archaeal small subunit ribosomal RNA
Source: RNAcentral